RNAcentral lists this ribosomal RNA (287 nucleotides) under uncultured prokaryote. RNAcentral's name for it is "partial 16S ribosomal RNA". It matches the Rfam family "Bacterial small subunit ribosomal RNA", at positions 524 to 819 of the family's 1533-position model. The record is from RNAcentral.
AACGUAGGGGCGGAGCGUUGUCCGGAAUUAUUGGGCGUAAAGCGCGUGUAGGCGGAAGCUUAAGUCAGGUGUGAAAACUUGGGGCUCAACCCCGAGCCUGCAUCUGAAACUGGGUUUCUUGAGGACGGGAGAGGAAAGUGGAAUUCCUAGUGUAGCGGUGAAAUGCGUAGAUAUUAGGAGGAACACCAGUGGCGAAGGCGACUUUCUGGACCGUAACUGACGCUGAGACGCGAAAGCGUGGGGAGCGAAACAGGAUUAGAUACCCCCGUAGUCCCUGAGCGGGCUGG